UACGUAGGGUGCAAGCGUUAAUCGGAAUUACUGGGCGUAAAGCGUGCGCAGGCGGUGAUGUAAGACAGGUGUGAAAUCCCCGGGCUUAACCUGGGAACUGCAUUUGUGACUGCAUCGCUGGAGUGCGGCAGAGGGGGAUGGAAUUCCGCGUGUAGCAGUGAAAUGCGUAGAUAUGCGGAGGAAUACCGAUGGCGAAGGCAAUCCCCUGGGCCUGCACUGACGCUCAUGCACGAAAGCGUGGGGAGCAAACAGG
Molecule: ribosomal RNA, 253 nt
Filed under: uncultured bacterium
Lineage: Bacteria
Description: partial 16S ribosomal RNA
Rfam family: Bacterial small subunit ribosomal RNA
Source: RNAcentral